CAGGCUGGUCUCAAACUCCCGACCUCAGGUGAUCCGCCCACCUCAGCCUCCCAAAGUGCUGGAGUUAACAGGUGUGAGCCACCAUGCCCGGCCCUAACAGUUUUAUUACAUAGGAAGAAUUUGUUAAAUAUAUUUUCAAGGAAGAGAGCUCUGCUUUUCUAAGUGUUAUAUUUUCUUCUACUAGAUGGGUUUCCAAGAGCCAGGCUUUUCAAAAGGAUACUUCAGUAUAUCAUCUAACCUUCUUUUCUAAAAUUAAUUUUAUGUAGCUUUAAAUUUUUUUACUUUCUCCAGUAUUUAAUUCAAUUACACUUUGACUAAAUAAGGAAAAGAAGAGAAUUGCAUUACUCAGAACAGUGUUGCCUGGUAGAGCACCAGACUAGGAUUCAGAAGAAUGACUCAUAGUCCAGGAUCCCCAGCAAGUUGAUCCCAGCAGACUUUAUUUGCCCAUCAAAUGGGUUUAAUGAUAAUGCUCUUUUUGGGUUAUCAAGAAAAUUAAAUUGGAUAAGGGAUGUGAAAAUACUAGGAAACUCCAAAUCACUCUAUAUUUUAUUAUAUCCUUCUGUUUUUGUAAGCAAAAACACUUUUUAAAGUUUAUAUUUAUUUAGAAAGUUAAAAUCUUGUGUGAGCUAUAAAGCUCUAUGAUCUUGAACUGAAAUUAUUUUUGAAAGGUGAACACGUGAUGUGAAACAUUCAGCUGACCUGUUUUCCCUGCCAUUCUUGGCAGCAGUGGGAAUUCAUGCUAGGUCUGCCAAACAGUGAUUGAGGGCCAGUUUGAGGUCAGGUAUCAAAACUCUGACCAGCUUUUUAUUUUAGUGUUUCCUCCCCUAGAAAGAGAAACCUUUCUUCCUAGAACAUAUCAGAGGAAAGUACUUCCUAUUUGUUCUUCCAAGCUUUUUGCUUACAGCCCGGCUUUUCUUUAGCAAAGGAGAAUAAAAUAUAAAGCAGAAAACGUAAUUAUAUCUCUCUUCUUCUAAUCAGAAACAAGGUUCUAUCCCUUCCUCUUUUUACUUCAUCAGUUGCCUGUUGUACAUACUUUGCAUGCUCUGCAUUCUUUUUGUAGCCUACUGAAGGGGUCAGAGGUUUUCUCAACUAAAGCUGUUCUAGAAUUUUAAAAAUUAAUUGAAUUUUUCAGCAUAAAUUUAAAAUCAUAUUUUACACAGAUUAUAAAUUUAUUUCAAUUAUGUUUUAUGAAUCAAAUUGAACAUUCUUACUAAACUGAAUUUCCAAGUGUAUUUAUUUAUUUAGAGACAGGGUGUUAACCUGUCACCCAGGCUGGAGUGCAAUGGCAUGAUCAUAGCUCACUGUAACCACCCACUCCUGGGCUUAAGUGAGCCUCCUGCCUCAGCCUCCCAAGUAGCUAGGGCUACAGGUGUGCACAAUCAUACCUGGUUAGUUUUUUGUUUUUUGUUUUUUUGUAGAGAUGGGACCUUGCUAUGUUGCCCAGGCUGUUCUUGAACUCCCAGCCUCAAGCAGUCCUCCCAUCUUGGCCCAAAGCUCUGGGAUUAUAGGCAUGAACCUCUAUGCCCAACCCAUCCACAUGUAUUUUAAAUGAUGAUUUUUUUUUUUUUAAACUGAAAGAGUUUAUGAAACCAGCUCUCACUUAGGACACCUAAGAACCAAAGGCAAUGUGUGGACUUUGAUUGGGCCUGGUGUGAAAAAACAGCUGGAAAAGGCAUUACUGGGAUAACAGAACACUUAAAUAGGAUCUCAGUAUUAAAUAAUAUUAAAUAAUUAUUGGAAAUUGUUAGUUGUGAUAAUAGUACUGUUAAACCUAGGUGAUGAGUCUGAAUGAUGGAUUUGAAGCCCAACUCUUGCUUUCCAGCUUUGUGAGCUUGGGCAAAUUGUUUAGCUUUUGUGCUUUGGUAGCUGUUUAAUGACAUAGUAUAGCACUUGACAAAAGUAAGUGUUGAAUUUAUUUUUUAUUGUAACUAAUAUUGCAUGUUUAAUCCCCAGGAUUUCUGGUACUCUCUUUUUGGUACUUUCUUCUAUCUGUUCUUACUUACCUUGAUUAGUAUCUUGAACCAAGAACUUCCUGGGUCUCUAUUCCAAUACCUUUUUCUUAAGAAACGAUUCCCUCACCUUUCUUAUUGACAGAAUAAAGAAAGAGAGCUUUUCUUUGCUUUUCCUCUUCUCUCUUUCUCCUUCCUGGAUUUCUGGUUAAGAAGAAUAAAUUAGAAUAAGCAAAAAAAUUUUGAGGUAGGACAUAUAUUUUAAUGAUUAACUCAAUCAAGGUCUGUGCAGCUUUAUUCUAGAGACUGAUUCCUCUUCUCAAGUUGUGUAUAUUACAGUAAAGGUGAAUGGAUACCCACACACACACACACACACACGUAUUUGUAUAUGUGUGCAGAGGAUGUUUUCUUAAGAAGAAACUAGAUCAUAGAGUGCUUUAAAAUCAGUUAAUCAUUUAGCAUGCUUAUGAAUCUGAAGUUAGUGGGAUGUUUGCAUUGAAUAUUCUCAAGUUAAUGAGGUAUUCUAAAUUAAUUUUAACUUCUGAGUCUCCAGGAAAGCUUUCAGAAUUUAUACUUACUACCCAGGUGAGAAGUUGCAGUAGAGUAAAAGGGAAUCUUUCCCAAACUUGUGGAAUUUUAGAGUCAGAACGGGCCUUAGAAAUUCCAGUGCUUCAUUUGCCACAUGAGAAGGCUGAUAUCUGAACCAAACAGAUAACUUCAGAACCUCUGGAUACCAAACUUAUGAAGCUAAAACAGAAAUGUCAACUUGGGAUUAAAAGGAAAAUAAUAAUGCGUAGAAACGGUUUUGAAAAGAAGGUUUUAGAUAUUUUUGUGCUCCAUAUUUUCCUGCAUAUGUCUCCCUUUUCUCUGCCAAACUGCUUUUCACACCCGGUCCUUGGACUCUUUGAGCACUUCCCUGCCAUAUAAUUGACUUUCAGAAAUUGAAUGAAGCUGUAAAUGUCGAAGCAGGACUGGCCAUAAGAGUCUCUUAAUAUCUGGAUAGUCCAGUCACAAAGGUCUUUACUGUCAUUCAGCUGACUUUUGGCUUGCUAAAUAUAGCUGAAUAUCACAAAUUCUAAUUGUUAAAACCCUCCCUCACCUUAAUUUGAACUAGAAAACCAGACAAAAUUUGGUAAGAAUUUCAGCAAACUGUAGAAUUAUGAUCUAGAAUAUCUCAAAAUUUUAUCCCAUUUUACUUUGAAUAAUGUUAGAAAUAUACUAUGCUAGGCUGUCAGUUGGAUCCUUUUAGUACUACAUAAGUAAGUUAUAAAUUACCUAAAGUCCUCUCAGUACUUUCAGAGAAAGCUAACAUUACCAUAAUUUUGGAAAAAUUAGAGAUUGACCUAAAAGCAGGUCCUCUGCUCCUUUUGAAAUCUCUUCCUUGUUCAGCCUGCCUACCUCCACUUCUGCCUCCACCAUGUCCAUCAGGGUGACCCAGCAGCCCUACAGGAUGUUCACCUCUGGUCCCCCGGCCUUCAGCAGUUGCUCCUACAUGAGCAGGCCCAGGGCCUGCAUCAGCUCCUUGAUUGUCUCCCGAGUGGGCCGCAGCAGCAGCUUCCAGGGUGGCCUGGGCGCUGGCAUGACUCUGGCUGGAGGCUGUGGCGGGGCCAGGAGUAGGGGAAGCAUCAGUCGUCACAGUUAACCAGAACCUGCUGAGCCACCUUAAGUUGGAAGUGGACCCCAACAUUCAGGCCAUGUGCACCCAGAAGAAGGAGCAGAUUGAGACCCUCAACAACAACUUUGCCUCCUUCAUCGACAAGGUGCAGUUCAUGGAGCAGCAGAACAAGAUGCUGGGAACCAAGUGGAGCCUCCUGCAGCAGCAGAAGACGGCUCAGAGCAACAUGGACAACAUGUUUGAGAGUGACUUCAACAGCCUUCUGUGGCAGCUGGACACUCUGGGCCAGGAGAAGCUGAAGCUGGAGGCGGAGCUUGGCAACAUGCAGGAGAUGGUAGAGAACUUCAAGAACAAGUACAAAAAUGAGAUCAAUAACCGUGCAGAGCUGGAGAAUGAAUUUGUUCUCAUCAAGAAGGAUGUGGAUGAAGCUUAUGUGAACAAGGUAGAGCUGGAGUCUCACCUGGAAGAGCUGACUGAUGAGAUCAACUUCCUUAGGCAGCUUUGUGAAGAGGAGAUCCGGGAGCUGUAGUCCCAGAUCUUGGACACAUCGGUGGUGCUGUCCUUGGACAACAGCUGCUCCCUGGACAUGGUCAGCAUCAUUGCUGAGGUUAAGGCCCGGUAUGAGGAGACUGCCAACCGGAGCCAGGCCAAGGCUGAGAGCGUGUAACCAGAUCAAGUAUGAGAAGCUGCAGACGCUGGCCUGGAAUCAUGGGAUGACCUGCGUUGUAUAAAGACUGAGAUCUCCAAGAUGAACCGGAACAUCAGCUGGCUCCAGGCUGAGAUUGAGGGCCUUAAAGGCCAGAGGGCUUCCCUGGAGGCCACCAUCUCAGAUGCCAAGCCGCACUGGGAGCUGACCAUUAAGGAUGCCAAUGCCAAGCUUUCUGAGCUGGAGGCUGCCCUACAGCAGACCAAGAAGGACAUGGUGUGGCCUCUGCAUGAGUACCAGGAGCUGAUGAAUGUCAAGCUUGCCCUGGACAUCGAGAUUGCCACCUACAGGAAGCUGCUGGAGGGUGAGGAGAGCUGGCUGGAGUCUGGGAUGCAGAACAUGAGUAUCCAUAUGAAGACUACCAGUGGCUAUGCAGAUGAGCUGAGCUCGGCCUACAGGGACUUAACAAGCCCUGGCCUCACCUAUGGCCUGGGCUCCAGCUUUGGUUCUGGCAGGGGCUGGAGCCAGCUCCUUCAGCUGUACCAGCUCCUUCAGGGCUGUGGCUGUGAAGAAGAUCAAGACCCAUGAUGGGAAGCUGGUGUUCAAAUCCUCUGAUGUCCUGCCCAAGUGAAGGGCCACAGCAGCCCCACCCAGUCUACCCACCCUGGGGCUGCCCCAGAGCCUGUUGGAGAGGCUGCUGUGCACGGCUGCACAGGGAACAGGAGACCCACCUGUUUUAGUCCCUUUUCACACUGCUUAUAAAGACAUACCCAA
This is a non-coding RNA of Chlorocebus sabaeus (green monkey), 4984 nucleotides long. NCBI's taxonomy places the organism in Eukaryota, Metazoa, Chordata, Mammalia, Primates, Cercopithecidae. The record is from RefSeq and is a predicted model, not a curated record.